CUUCUUCACUGUUUCUCUACAGAAACUGGAACUCCUCUCUCUCUCUGGUUCGUUCAUUUCUGUACACAGCAGCAACUCUCUUCUCUCAAUUUCCAGGAACAGAAAAUAGAAGUCUCCCCCUCACUCUCCUUCGGUCCACCGAGAAAAGAAGAAAAUAGGUGAAAGCUCGACCUUGAUGCUAAUGGCUAGUCCAGAUGAUACUGUAGACCAAAGUCUUUUCUUUAUGGAUGUCAUAGACCCUACCCCUAAGAGCAAUAGAUCGAUAAAGAUCGGUCUAACUUUUGUAUUGUACAUAUUUAUUUUGAAUUCCUAGAAAUGAGAUGUAAUAAUUAAAGAACUACUAUGUAUAUAUUCUUAUAAUGAAAUAUAGCCAUGUGCUAUUCCUGGGAAAA
Long non-coding RNA from Alnus glutinosa, 392 nucleotides. RefSeq lists it as uncharacterized. Lineage: Eukaryota; Viridiplantae; Streptophyta; Magnoliopsida; Fagales; Betulaceae. The transcript has 2 exons. The record is from RefSeq and is a predicted model, not a curated record.